GGCACUUUGGCGGAGUGGUUAACGCGAUGCCCUGCUAUUGUGUAAAACAAAGAUAGGCAUUUCCUUCGGGAGCGAGUGUUCGAAUCACUCAGGUGUCG
Transfer RNA from Sclerotinia sclerotiorum, 98 nucleotides. It matches the Rfam family "tRNA". From Rfam's summary of the family: Transfer RNA (tRNA) molecules are approximately 80 nucleotides in length. Their secondary structure includes four short double-helical elements and three loops (D, anti-codon, and T loops). Further hydrogen bonds mediate the characteristic L-shaped molecular structure. tRNAs have two regions of fundamental functional importance: the anti-codon, which is responsible for specific mRNA codon recognition, and the 3' end, to which the tRNAs corresponding amino acid is attached (by aminoacyl-tRNA synthetases). tRNAs cope with the degeneracy of the genetic code in two manners: having more than one tRNA (with a specific anti-codon) for a particular amino acid; and 'wobble' base-pairing, i.e. permitting non-standard base-pairing at the 3rd anti-codon position. Lineage: Eukaryota; Fungi; Ascomycota; Leotiomycetes; Helotiales; Sclerotiniaceae. The record is from Rfam.